This is a non-coding RNA of Rattus norvegicus (Norway rat), 396 nucleotides long. Lineage: Eukaryota; Metazoa; Chordata; Mammalia; Rodentia; Muridae. The record is from RefSeq and is a predicted model, not a curated record.
CGAACUUCAUCGGAAACGCAGACGCAGUGGAAACAGUCCGCGGUUGCGCCCCGCCCCGGAAGUGUGGCAGGACUGGAAAGCCGGCGGGGAGAACACAGACUGGAUGCAGAUUCAAAAGCCCAAUUGUAGGAGGAAAAGAACCCAAAACACCAAAGCUGUGUUUUUUUCAAGACAGCCACUCCGAACCAGUAAGGAGCCAUCUUGGUUGUGCAGUUAAUGGCGGUCUUGAUGUGUUCAACUCACCUGGAGUUUUGUAACGGUAGUAUCUUUUUGAGUAUUUCAAAUGCAGCGUUGUCAGUAAUUACUGUUUCCUAAAAGAAAAUAUAUAUCUUUAAAAAGAUAUAAUUAUUUUUGCUUUGUGUGUGUCAUAUAUAUAUAUAUAUAUAUAUAUAUAUA